UACGGAGGGUGCAAACGUUGCUCGGAAUCAUUGGGCGUAAAGCGCGCGUAGGCGGCGAAGCAAGUUGGAUGUGAAAGCCCUGGGCUCAACCUAGGAUGUGCAUACAAAACUGCUUCGCUUGAAUCUCGGAGGGGGUCAGGGAAUUCCCGGUGUAGAGGUGAAAUUCGUAGAUAUCGGGAGGAACACCAGUGGCGAAGGCGCUGACCUGGACGAUGAUUGACGCUGAGGCGCGAAAGCGUGGGGAGCAAAC
Molecule: ribosomal RNA, 250 nt
Filed under: uncultured bacterium
Lineage: Bacteria
Description: partial 16S ribosomal RNA
Rfam family: Bacterial small subunit ribosomal RNA
Source: RNAcentral